This is a long non-coding RNA of Oreochromis niloticus (Nile tilapia), 628 nucleotides long. RefSeq lists it as uncharacterized. The transcript has 4 exons. The record is from RefSeq and is a predicted model, not a curated record. NCBI's taxonomy places the organism in Eukaryota, Metazoa, Chordata, Actinopteri, Cichliformes, Cichlidae.
GAUGUUUCUUGAUGACGCUAACAGGGAAUAAGAGAAGAGGAGGAGCACCGAGAAGAUAGUUUGAUAUUGCACAGAAGGAGAAAGGAACUGAAGAGGGUUGAUGUGACAGAAGAGAUGUGAGGUAGAGGUCGAUACUCAGCUUUGGUGAGCCAUAACAGGAGAGUCAAAAGAAGAAGAUGGUCUUCACUACAUUUCAGAAAUAUUUCGUCUUCAUCCUGCUUCUUCUCUCUCUAACACCCCCCACCCACCCACCUCUCCCUCUGCCUCCACCCAGCUUUGAUCCGCCCCUGCAGCCACGCUGGAAAGAUGACAGAGCGAGGAAAGAGAGAGUGGAGAGGGAGGGAAAGGGGAGAGAAAGAUGUGACAGCUCCUCAACAAGUGUGGCGCACCGGGGAAAGGGAGAGAAAAAAAGGGAGUGCUAUUCUGAUGAUGAGCUUCUCGCCAUGGGAGGAGGACGAGACAUAUGCGGCAUCAAGAGCUGUGCGGACUGUAGAGUGUGAAUGGAGAUAAGGCAACAUGCUGGAACCCUGAUAACAACAGUCAGAGCUUUCUAAAUUACCAAUCAGCAGGAAAUGGUUGACUGGGUGUGGUACACCAUGGAGCCAGACUUAUUUAUAUAAGAACUUGC